Phrynosoma platyrhinos (Desert horned lizard) is the source of this 72-nucleotide non-coding RNA. NCBI's taxonomy places the organism in Eukaryota, Metazoa, Chordata, Lepidosauria, Squamata, Phrynosomatidae. The record is from the annotation of a GenBank genome assembly.
GCCAGUGUGGUGUAACCGUUUGAGUGUUGGACUUUGACUCUGGAGACCAGGGUUCGAGUCCCUGCUUGGCCA